This 455-nucleotide RNase P RNA is filed under the name Nitrospirota bacterium. RNAcentral's name for it is "Nitrospirae bacterium (hot springs metagenome) RNase P RNA component class A". It matches the Rfam family "Bacterial RNase P class A". From Rfam's summary of the family: Ribonuclease P (RNase P) is a ubiquitous endoribonuclease, found in archaea, bacteria and eukarya as well as chloroplasts and mitochondria. Its best characterised activity is the generation of mature 5'-ends of tRNAs by cleaving the 5'-leader elements of precursor-tRNAs. Lineage: Bacteria; Pseudomonadati; Nitrospirota. The record is from RNAcentral.
GGGUAGGCAGGGUGUGGUUGGGCUUGGCAUUGUUAAUGUCAAGUCAGGAAAGUCCGGGCUCCGCAGGGUAGCGUAAUGGGUAACACCCAUCUCCGCCUAUAAAUAUAGGCGGACGGAUUUCCGCCAUACAACUUGGCGGACCCGCCAAAGCCCAUACCAGUUAUAAGAUGGAAAAGGGCGUAAGCGGGAGAGCCACAGAGACGAGACCCUACAUUUUUGUGUAGGGUGGUGCAACGAAGGCAAUCUCUACGUGGAGCAAGGCCGAAUAGUCCCGCCCAUACCUGCUUUAUGCAGGUAUAAAAACAACCCGUUUGAAAACCUCAAAAAUAUUUUGAGGGUGGGUGGGUGGGUAGGCUGCUUGAUUCAGGUGGCGACAUCUGAACUUAGAGGAAUAACCACUAAGGAAGCGGGAAAUCGCCUCUAAACAGAACCCGGCUUACUCUGCCUGCCUUUUA